GGCGGCCCCUGCGCCCCCCCUUCCCCUCUCCGCCCCGGUACCGCUCACGGUCCCUCCGCCGGCCGAUCCGUUCUCCCCGCAGACCGGUCUCCAGCCGCCGCCGCGCCCGGGCAGCUCCGUGAGUCGCCUCCCACCGUCGCCGUCCCCGGGGGCGCUCGGUAACGGGACGGGGCGGCCGCUGCCCCCGCCCCGCGGCUGCUCAGGGUGCGGAUAACCCCCUAACGAUCCAGUUAAAGGCUCGAAGGGGCUCGGAGCCGCUUUAGCCGGCCCCUGAUAUUUCGCCGCCUUUGUCUCUGCUCACCGGUCCCCAUUGGGAAGGGAACCGCGGGCCCCAACCGCUCCCCCCACCUUGCUCCCCACGGGGACCCGAGUGGGAAGCAGGAUCCAGAGCCGACCGGGAGACCGGAGGAGGCAGGAGGCGGCGGAGCUGGUGGGGUGAACCGGCAGGAUCCGAGCCCCCCCCCCGCUCCCUGCGUGGUCCUUCCCUCCCAUCUCCAGCUCUGCUUGAUCCACGUGAAACUAAAGAUUCCCAAGUUCCCCAGUGUAUCAUGCUGAAGUGGGAAGACUGGGCCUGGGAAGAGUGGUUCUGAUUGACUUCACCUCCUCCAGCAGAGAAACCACUGCAGCUCUUCCAGUCAUGUUGAAGCUGGGACCACAGUGAGGAGGCCAAGGGGCAGAAGUCAGAAUGGAUGUUUCCUCUCCCCACAGACACCUUGCUUCAACACCCACACAAAAACUGUGUGCCUGCAGUUCACGUUGAA
This 761-nucleotide long non-coding RNA is filed under the name Geospiza fortis (medium ground-finch). RNAcentral's name for it is "lncRNA (ENSGFOG00000003978.1)". The record is from RNAcentral. Lineage: Eukaryota; Metazoa; Chordata; Aves; Passeriformes; Thraupidae.